RNAcentral lists this unclassified non-coding RNA (455 nucleotides) under Hevea brasiliensis (rubber tree). The record is from RNAcentral. Lineage: Eukaryota; Viridiplantae; Streptophyta; Magnoliopsida; Malpighiales; Euphorbiaceae.
GAAAGGGGGCCCGCCGAUAAGGGACUAGUUUUGUCAUUUUCUCCAAGUACACCAAUAAACUAAUGACGUUCUUCUCCGAUUUGGAAGAAUCGGAAGCUGCCGGUCGCCGAUAAUCAGUGGAUUUUCACCUAUUUGAGGGUGUACUUUGAGGAAGGUGAAUGCUCAAAUUCGUCAUUCUUUUUUGUGGAAAAAUACAUCUCGAGAUGAUGGAAAUUGAAAUUGCGUCCCUUUACCACUACGUAUAAGCUGGUCAAGCUGAUUUUGAGUUGUUUUCGGUACAACUUUUAGCUUGAAUAUUCUGAGUGUCCUCCUUUCUCUCGACUGAGUAGCUUUUACUCUACAAGAAAUUCAUCUGCUAGAGUAGUUCUGCAAAAGAAAAGCAAUCAAAAUAAUGGAUGAUCGGGUUGUUCUUGACAAGGGUGGAACAAGGAAGUUGCCUCAGUGGAUGUUUGCUA